Molecule: ribosomal RNA, 492 nt
Filed under: uncultured bacterium
Lineage: Bacteria
Description: partial 16S ribosomal RNA
Rfam family: Bacterial small subunit ribosomal RNA
Source: RNAcentral
AUUGAACGCUGGCGGCAUGCUUUACACAUGCAAGUCGAACGGUAACAGGCCUUCGGGUGCUGACGAGUGGCGAAUGGGUGAGUAAUGCAUCGGAACGUACCCAGAGGUGGGGGAUAACGCAGCGAAAGCUGUGCUAAUACCGCAUGUGAUCUGAGGAUGAAAGCGGGGGACCGAGCAGCAAUGUUUGGCCUCGCGCCUUUGGAGCGGCCGAUGUCGGAUUAGCUAGUUGGUGGGGUAAAGGCCUACCAAGGCGACGAUCCGUAGCUGGUCUGAGAGGACGACCAGCCACACUGGGACUGAGACACGGCCCAGACUCCUACGGGAGGCAGCAGUGGGGAAUUAUGGACAAUGGGCGCAAGCCUGAUCCAGCAAUGCCGCGUGCGGGAAGAAGGCCUUCGGGUUGUAAACCGCUUUUGGCAGGAACGAAACGGUGUCCGCUAAUACCGGGCGCUAAUGACGGUACCUGCAGAAUAAGCACCGGCUAACUACGUG